AAACAGAUAUGUAGCAUGUCAGGGGUACAGCCCUGUAAUACAGUCCAGGGCAUUGAAAAGCUAGUAAGUGAGUUAAAAAUGCCGAAAACUGAUCUUCAGGGAUUGGAUAAAGGGGAGUUGUCCACUGUAACCUUGAGUUGGGAGAAGAUGAAGGAUAAAAACUGGUUUCAAGAUACAGAUAUAUUUAGGUGUACUGCACAACAAUCAGAAGUGGAUUUUUUGGUUCAUUCGGUAAUUCAUCACAGUUCUAGACCUACGCUAGAAAAUGUUAUCUCCAUUCUACUUAUAAACCAAGAGCCUCUUGUCUCAAUGAUGUUCAAGAGAAAAGAUGACUGGCCUUUCCCUGAAUACUUGGGCUCUUGUGGAAGGUUGGCCAUAUUUGAAUAUAUCGGCCCGAGCAUUGCUGCACACUAUUCUUCCUCUUGGCCUCUGCGCGCGUACUUUGCUGUACAACUGCUUCAGCUGGCUAAACGGUUUUCUAAACCAGAUAAAACCGGUUUAGUGAUUUAUCCUACAGAUUGGACCGCUCACAACUUUGCCGUGGACGAGGAGAAUCGUGUAUAUUUAGUUGAUCUAGAGGGAAUAAUUUUAGUGAAUCAAUCAAUAAUUAGAGAAAAGAAGGCACCAGGCUGGGACACCUAUUAUACUGCGGAUAGGUUUGGUUGUACAAAUUGUUUUAGUUUCUCUACAGCAGAUCUUUGUACGCAUGCAGAAUCAGAUCACAACUACCAUGGUGUUUGUGGAGGUCUUCUAGCACCUCAACCUUACUCUCCAGGACUAGCAGGAGGACUUCUUCAUUCAGUUCCUAGAAAUAUACUAGCUAGGCAUCCUCUGCUACCGAGGUUACUGGAUGAAUGCUGGAAAUCCUCUAAACCUGGAGGACGGGAAGAGGCCGCUGAUCUUAUUAUUGAGAUCCUUCGCUCUGAACUGGUUGAUCUUGAUCUUCAAAACCUAACAUGAGACGUUUAGAUCUUGAUAUUUUUUUGUCUUUGAUUUGAUCUUCAUUAUCUUACACUUAAUGCUUUGAUCAUGAUCUUCAACGCCUCACUUAAGUCUUGAUAGAUUCAAUAUUUUAUAUAUGACGCUUUUAUUUUUAAAGUUUGGAUUUUUACUCAUGCGGGAAAAACUAGGUGUCAAAAUGCCAGGCAAAAAAUUAUUAUUUAUGUUAAUGUUUUAUGUUAUUUAUUCUGAAUGUGAUAUCUUUACAAACUUGCUCACUUAAAGGGACUGUAAGCGUAAUUUCAAGUUACCCUUCAUGCAAAGAUGGCAAUGCUCGACUGACUCACAGCGCU
This 1292-nucleotide unclassified non-coding RNA is filed under the name Eurytemora carolleeae. Its description in RNAcentral is "deleted in autism protein 1". Lineage: Eukaryota; Metazoa; Arthropoda; Copepoda; Calanoida; Temoridae. The record is from RNAcentral.